Molecule: RNA transcript, 2540 nt
Organism: Cannabis sativa
Lineage: Eukaryota; Viridiplantae; Streptophyta; Magnoliopsida; Rosales; Cannabaceae
Gene name: increased DNA methylation 1-like
Exons: 11
Source: RefSeq, a predicted model, not a curated record
GUGUUACAUAAUUAGUUAAUUUUCAAUAAAUAAAAUUAUUCUUGAAUGCGUUACAACAUAUGGUAUGUAUGCCAUCUUGUUUGUCAUGUGAUACUAUUUUACCUUAUAUAUGUGUUUUUUAUUUUGAUUAUUUUUUCUAAAGCAUUGGAUUAAUUUUUCAUUCCCUAUAAAAUGACAAGUUCAUACAUGUUUCUUGGCUUGUAUACAAUGGUUUGAAAUUGGAUUUUUCAUGUCAUUUUUAGGAGCAAGACAUUUAGAAAGACAAAGUAGUCCGGUGUGUAUCUUUGCCUAGUGUCUUGCAUGUUGAGGAUACCACAACUUUGUCAGUUCUUCAACCCACCAAUUAGUAGCCGUUUCAUAACCCUACACUAUCCAUAUCUAAAAAAUUCCAGCGAGAUCCAAUCGAAGAAAUUUCAUCGAUAAAGAAGUUAAUUCAUCAGAUAGAUUUAUUAUUCGGAGAUUUGGAGAUCGACAUUUUGAAAAAUUUUUUAGAUCGAUUACAAUUUCUGUUGGAAAAAGAAGGGCUACUAUUCUACAAGAGAAAAAAAACCAUUAUGGCCUAUGAAUUAAGGGACAGAAAGCAGAAGCAAGUAUUAUACAUUGAUGAUACAAGUUCUUCAUCAGAUGAUUCUGAUCAUGGUGGCGAAUCAGAUACCGAUUAUGUGAAAAGGCGCCCUCAGCGCAAUCUCAUCAGCUCAACCAACAAUGAUGUUGUCAGAGAAAUAGUUCUUGUGGCCAAAAUUGCUGGUUAUUCUCCAAUGAAAAGAAAACCUGGCCGACCGCCUAAGGCUAAGGCGUCGGCUAGUAAUAGUGUUUGUGCUCUUUCGCAAAUUCAAGGCCCUUUGGUGACAAAGAAAAGGAGUCAGAAGCGUCGAGCUGCUGUUGCAUCUUCUUCUUCUUCUUAUUCGGGGUUGGAAAAAGGGUAUGUGGUGGAAGAUGGGAUGGAGAAAAACACAAUCUUGGCAAUGUUGAUUGAUAUGAAGGAAAUCAAAGAUAAUGAAGAAGUGCAUUAUUUGGACAUGGAUCUUAAGAAAAUCAAUAGUGGGAAAGUUACUAGAGCUGGGAUACAUUGUGGUUGUUGUGAAAAAAUGGUUACAGUUGGGAAAUUUGAAGAACAUUCCUAUAAGAAUAGUAGUAGUUGUAAUAAGAGUGGUAUUCUUGGAAAACCAUAUCAAAAUAUUGUGUUGGAAAGGAGUGGUCAUUCAUUGUUGCAAUACCAAGUUUCUGUUUGGUAUACAAGAUUGGAAAGAGGAGAUAUGGAUGUGGUUAAUAAUGUUGUGCCUAAAAAUAAUGAUGGUGACAAAAAUGAUGAUGCUUGUAUGGUUUGUGCUGAUGGAGGUGACUUAAUUUGCUGUGAGAAAUGCCCUUCAACUUUUCAUCCUUCUUGUUUGGAAAUGGAGGGAGUUCCUUUUGGAGAAUGGUCAUGUCCCUAUUGUGUAUGCAAAUAUUGUGGUAUACCAACAGGAGAGGAUCUUGGUAUUGACUUCUCUAAAUGCAUGUUGUGUGAUAAGACUUAUCAUUGGGCAUGUUAUGAGCAAAAAGAGCUGAAUCUCAACAACAAUACAAGCCCACAAUUUUGUGGAGAUGGAUGUUACAAUGUUUAUGAGAAACUUCAGAGAAUAGUGGGAGUGAAGAAUGAAAUGGAGGAAGGGUUGUCGUGGACACUCAUACGACAUGCUGAUUUGAUGUCGUUUGAUAUAAAAGAUAUUGAAUUUUUCUAUGAAUUUAUGGAGUGCAAUGCUAAAAUAGCCAUUGCUUGGAGCCUCUUGGAUCAAUCUUUUGAAAAUAUAAUUGAUCGUUACACUGGUAUUAAUUUACUCAGAAGUGUCGUCUACAAUGCCAGAUCAAAUUUGAGCAGAAUCAACUUCAGAAAUUUUUAUACAGCUAUCUUAGAAAAGGACGAUAAUAUAAUCGUAGUCGCAUCUAUCAGAAUACAUGGAAAGAAAAUGGCGGAAAUACCCUUUGUAACAACUGCUAAGGACUACAGGGGCAGAGGAAUGAUGCGGAAGCUAAUGGUUGCAAUUGAAUCUACUCUGUGUGAUUUGGAAGUGGAAAAUGUAGUGAUACCAUCUUCGUCAGGAGUGGAAAAGAUGUGGAUCAACAAUUUCUAUUAUUCAAAAAAGAUUGACAAGUCCUUGGAGAAACAUAUUGUACUCUCUAACAUGCUCAUGUUUCCCUAUGCUAUCAGACUACACAAACCCCUUUUGCCAAAUACUUCACAUCUUCAAGAGAGUAGUAAUUCCAAAAGAGCUGCUUUGCUGGACUUGAACUAUGAACCUCCUCAAGAGGAUGAGGAAUGAUAUCAAUGACAAGGAGAAGCUUAAUCUUAUAAUAAGACUUUUUCAUUUAUUACUUCAUAAAAUAAAUAAGUAUUACCAAUCCAUAUUGAGUUUGAUUGGAACUCAAGACUUUUGUCCUCUCAUAUCACAUUUGCCAAAUUUGGGAUUAAAUAAUUGUGUCAAAACUGAAUCUUUGCUUUUACUUAGUACUUUUAAGACAAUAUACCAAAAUCUUUGAAUGAGAGGUUUCUUAUUGUUUUU